AUGCCUUAAACUGAUGAGUAAGGAAAAUAACGAUGCGGGGUGACGCCCGCGUCCUCGUGCAGUUACGAGAGCAAUUUUUGAACGGGUACAGGUCUGUCCGCGUGGGUGACUCGCCUACUUCGCGAGACGCCUCGCGGAGCUGGGAUCUGCCCC
Electrophorus electricus (electric eel) is the source of this 153-nucleotide small nuclear RNA. Its record names the gene U12. It matches the Rfam family "U12 minor spliceosomal RNA". Rfam says of the family: Although the U12 sequence is very divergent from that of U2, the two are functionally analogous. The record is from Ensembl. Lineage: Eukaryota; Metazoa; Chordata; Actinopteri; Gymnotiformes; Gymnotidae.